CCGCUAGUGCCGCAGCUAACGCAUUAAGUAUACCGCCUGGGGAGUACACUCGCAAGGGUGAAACUCAAAGAAAUUGACGGGGGCCCGCACAAGCGGUGGAUCAUGUGGUUUAAUUCGAUGAUACGCGAAGAACCUUACCUGGGCUUGAACUGUGCCUGACAGGUGUAGAGAUACACUCUCCUUCGGGCAGGUACAGAGGUGCUGCAUGGUUGUCGUCAGCUCGUGUCGUGAGAUGUUGGGUUAAGUCCCGCAACGAGCGUAACCCUUACCCCUUGUUGCUAACAGGUUAAGCUGAGCACUCUAGGGGGACUGCCGGUGAUAAACCGGAGGAAGGUGAGGAUGACGUCAAAUCAUCACGGCCCUUAUGUCCAGGGCUACACACGUGAUACAAUGGUCGGUACAAAGAGCUGCAAUACCGCAAGGUGGAGCUAAUCUCAAAAAACCGACCUCAGUUCGGAUUGUAGUUUGCAACUCGACUACAUGAAGUUGGAAUCGCUAGUAAUCGCAGAUCAGCACGCUGCGGUGAAUACGUUCCCGGGCCUUGUACACACCGCCCGUCACACCAUCCGAGUUGGCAGCACCCAAAGGGGCUGGUCUAACCCGCAAGGGAGGAAGGUCAUUAAGGUGAAGCUAGUAAGGAGGGUGAAGUCGUAACAAGGUAGCCG
Molecule: ribosomal RNA, 665 nt
Filed under: uncultured bacterium
Lineage: Bacteria
Description: bacterial SSU rRNA
Rfam family: Bacterial small subunit ribosomal RNA
Source: RNAcentral